UGAAUAAGUUGUUGUUUGCCCCUCUAGUAUUCCAGGUUAUGAAGUUAAUUGGACUCUCACGUAUCAUUAAAUUCUCUGAUUUUCCCUUUCAUUUCUCCAUCUGUGUUAGGUUCAUUAAAUCCUUUAAGGGGUUCAGAGUUAUUGCUAGCAGUAGGUUGCUCAUCUGAUUUCUCAUACUCAGACUGAUCCUGCUCACUACAGCCUACUCAAAUAGCUUCUCUAGAUUUUCUCUUAGAAUUCUUUUGUGACUAGCUUUUCCAGUUGAUCGACCUCUGUAUUCUGCUCUUCUAGCGCUUGUAGCAACUCUUCUAACUCUUUGUUGCUCUACCUUAAUGUGUCUAGAACUAAAAGAGUUACCUCUCAUAGGUUUCCUGCCUUAUUAGUAACCAUGGCAUGAACUUGGGGGUAACAGUUGUAGGCAGUGACAGAGCCAAGAUUUUCAAAAAGGGGUUUAAAAUUAAAAAAAUUAGACACACGAAGUAGUCGAAGGGGAUUCGACAUCUACUAUAUAUACCUAAAAAAUUAUUUUAACCCCCUAAUUAUAAGGUGGCUCCGCCACUGGUUGUAGGGUCUUGAAGAGGUUCUGAUAAGAAAGAUAUAUAUCGAUGGACCUACGACAUGAGAGAGCUUAGCACUUGGCUGGACAUUCGUGUCAAGUCGCCGUAUAGGUGAGCUUAGAGCAGUGUUUGCAUCUAGAGUUGUUGGCUAAAACCCAAGGUGGCUAAGUUCAUCCAUUCUCUUAUGAAUUGUGCUAGGAAGUGUGGAUUUUCAAUUAAGAUCGACAUUGGCUGUGUCCAUAAGUCAAAGUUCUGCAUUAGUUAUUCUCCAUGGAAGGCCAAUUCUAGCCAUGACUCUGGAAUGUGAUCCUCCGAGAGAGGUGUUGUGACAAAGAACAUUGGUGUUGGUGCUGGUUGGAAGUAGGGGAUGUUGCUUUCCAUUUAUGCGAGUGUUCUGGAUGUCUAUUUCUUGGGGGUAUUCUUAAUUGGGACUCCAGGUUGGCAGUGUAGUUAAUUGAUGCAAUGACCAUUUUCACAUCUUUCCUGGCUUAGUGAUGAUUAUUUUUCGUAUUGGAAAGAGGGUUUUACAAUUUGAGAUGUGGCGGUUCGUUUCUCCACAAAGAGAGUUGUAGAGUCGUGGUUGGAGUUUGGAGUUCCCCUAGAGGUGCUUUGACUCAAAAAACCCACUUCAUUGAACGAGAGUUGAAGUUCCUUUUGCUUUGGAUUUUGGUGCAGUAAUCUUCAGCGCGUGUUUCCAAUGUGGGGGCCAUCUACAUUAAUGGGAUGAGAUCCUCGCAUGGAUUUCCUCUCAGGUUCAUUAAUGCUCGUCUGGGUAGUGUGUCGUCCAUCCAGCUUCCUUCAUUCCACAGUUCCAUCUUCCAUUUUUCUAUGUCCAUCAUGAGAUUUAAUAGGUGAUUGUUACGGUUGUAAGAACUAAUGGAAAAGUGUUGUUGAGUGAUGGUUAAAAUUUACCUUUUUUUGCGUCAAAAGCUUUUAACUAUAUCGUUGUCGUGUCUUUAUUUUUAUGGUCUAGCUAGUGUUGUGUUGUUCUGGGACUGUUUGCCAUUGUUCUUUGUCUUGUUUUAUUGGUAUAUAUAUCGCUUUCUUUUUCUGGACUUGUAUGGUGAUGGAUGUGUUUUGUGAUAAAGGAGCAUUAUCUAUUCGUAUGGUCAAUUCUUCUGCACCCCGUACACCAUGUCCCUUCACCAUUGUAGAUAACUUCUUAGAAGUGAUUUCCUAUUUGAAUUUUCUCCCUGAUUAGUAUGCCUAUCUUUUUUUUUUUAAAGUAAAAUAUGGGCUUUUAUUAAUACUGAAAUGAAUUAGCAAUUACACCUCCAUACACUUCCGCGGGCAUGACCCAACCCACCACUAACCCAAUACUAAAAAGUAAAUAACUAAACAUAAAUUACUGGCCUAUUCUCAUUUCUAGAUCGACAUAUAUAUCCUUGUAUGUAGGGUUUCCUAAUCGUUCCCCUUUCAUUUUCAUUUCCCCUUUUUCCGCUCCUCUGUCUCUAUCUUCACUCUUCAUUGUCUCCAUCUUCUCUUGCUUUGGAUAAUCAAUGUGAUGUUAUUGGCCUCCUUGACUGCUGUUUCAACAAACAAGAGUAAGUAAUUAAGAUUUUUAUUUCUUAUUUCCUUUUUUGCUACUGAUGAUCUCCUUAUUUUCCAGCUGAGUUUUUGUGUUUUCCUGUAGUUGGUUUGUGACAGAGUGCAUGGAGCUCUGCCCUUCCACCUUUCGUUGAUGAUGACACAGACUCCUCCAGGUUAAAUUGUUCCAUCUUGCCUCCAGAUCCUCCCUUUCGAGACCUUUUUGCUGGCUACUGUAGUAUCUAGCUAACAUUUCACUUUUUGCUGCCUUUAAGGCUUUUGUAAAUAUUAUGUUUCGUGAAAAAUUCAUGUUGUAGCCUUGGUUGCCCCUAUCCCUUUAGCGGUGAUACUCUUAAAUAUGAACAUAGUAGCUAGUCAUUGUUAACUAUCUUUCUCCCUUCUAUCUCCAUGCUAUUAAAGUCUGUAAAAGAGAAAUUUCCUUUAUCUAUUGCUCUGUUUGCACAGUGAUCACUGCUAAUUUGUUUGCCCUCUCUUAGAAUAUACUGAAAAAUGACUUGUUUACCUUGUAAGCAUGCUUUGCUGUCUGAUACCAUGUCUGCAAUUAACCAUGGACAUGCCCAUUCACCCUCUAUCACUUUAUAUAAUAGCAUUGAAUCUGUCUGAAUGAUGAUUCGAUUGUUUUGUGUCUGUUUGCUAUGUUUGCUUGCCUCUAGUAUAGCCUUUGCUUCUGCAACUGUGUUAGUGGUAUCCUCUAUGCAUGCCCCUUCUGCAUAUUCAAUAUCUCCUUGUUCAUUCCGUACACAAAAUGCAUAUGAACUGAUUCCCGGAUUUCCCCUUGAUGCUCCAUCUGUAUUAUACUUUACCCAAUCUUUGGGUGGAAAUUCCCAUAGUAUCUUCUUGACCUUCAUUCUAGGACUGUAGUGCUGCAAGUGCUCCACCAUAUUAGGCCAGUUAAUAGGAAAAUUCAUGCUAGGUUUUCUCAUUUUUAUCAGCAUGUAUAUAUUCCUAGAAACAUUGUGGAUGAUUCUAGCUACUGUUGUUUUCUUUCCUUCAUGCUUCAUUCUAUUCCUUUUCCUCCAUAGUUCCCAUAUUACAAAGCUAGGUAUUGCUUUAUAAACUGCUUUUAUAUUCUUCCUUGUAUCAGUCCUCCACCACAGCAUUAUCACUUCUCUCAAUGCCUAUCGUAACUUGUAUGCAUAUCCUUGCAUACCACCCUCUUAAAAUUAUUGAGGUACACAUGGCUAUUUUUAGGAUUGCUCCCAUUUUACUUCCCACCUUUUUAGGAUGUUUUUGUCAUAAAAUUCAAUUGGGAUUUAUGGAAGUCUAAUCCAUAUUCCACUGUGAGUUAUACUUAAUUCUUAAGGGGAGAAAUUGGGUUCCCAUAAUUUUACGAAAAGGAAAUUGUCGAUUUUGAACCAUGGACCACCUUGGAGUGAUUUUUCCAUGAUCUCUAAUUGGAGAGUGAACUUUGCUAUGUGGAAUCCCCAUCCUAGAUCAAUUAGGGUAAACACUUCUAUAGGUUUCCAGAGUUCCGUCACUUUAAUUUUGAGAAACCAUGAUGUGAUAUUCUUUUUCCCAUUGGUUUGAUUAUUACUGAGUUUUUUAUGGGGAGAUAAAUUUUCUCUUCUCUUCCUCAGUGAGGUUGAUUUCAUUUUCUAUUUCGUUAUCCUUCUCUGUCUCU
This 3726-nucleotide long non-coding RNA is filed under the name Solanum tuberosum (potato). Its description in RNAcentral is "long non-coding RNA (STUB_LNC006529)". The record is from RNAcentral. Lineage: Eukaryota; Viridiplantae; Streptophyta; Magnoliopsida; Solanales; Solanaceae.